Long non-coding RNA from Cloeon dipterum, 477 nucleotides. RefSeq lists it as uncharacterized. Lineage: Eukaryota; Metazoa; Arthropoda; Insecta; Ephemeroptera; Baetidae. The transcript is spliced from 4 exons. The record is from RefSeq and is a predicted model, not a curated record.
UGGAUGGACAUAGGGAGUACCACGUAUCUUCUGGGAAACAAGCCGAUGUCUUGGUUGAACAGCUGGACGCAGUGCUGCGCUUUGGGAAUGGAAAUGCUGAACAUUGAAAACGCGGCUGAGCAGAGAGGCCUGUCCAGUUUGACCGACGGCUAUAAUAAAAAAACGUGGAAAGCGAAUUUCAAUUACUGGACUUCUGGUACGUGGAAGGGCGCACCAGCGGGCCAAUGGUCGUGGUGCAAAACCACGGGGCCGACUGUCCUGGAUAAAAACCUCAUCUGGGAGCGCGGCCAACCCGACAAUAAAGGUGGAAACGAAGGCUGCGCCCACUUCCGCUUCGAUUUAAACUCCUCCAACGCACUCUUAACUGACAGAAACUGCGACAGUAAAUUCGUAUUCGCUUGCAAGACGUCACUUCUUACAACUACUGCUAAGCCGUGCAUCGCAUCGUGCCCACCGAUAAACACCUGCCAGCGAAAU